GACGAACGCUGGCGGCGUGCUUAACACAUGCAAGUCGAACGGAAAGGCCCUGCUUUUGUGGGGUGCUCGAGUGGCGAACGGGUGAGUAACACGUGAGUAACCUGCCCUUGACUUUGGGAUAACUUCAGGAAACUGGGGCUAAUACCGGAUAGGAGCUCCUGCUGCAUGGUGGGGGUUGGAAAGUUUCGGCGGUUGGGGAUGGACUCGCGGCUUAUCAGCUUGUUGGUGGGGUAGUGGCUUACCAAGGCUUUGACGGGUAGCCGGCCUGAGAGGGUGACCGGCCACAUUGGGACUGAGAUACGGCCCAGACUCCUACGGGAGGCAGCAGUGGGGAAUAUUGCACAAUGGGCGGAAGCCUGAUGCAGCAACGCCGCGUGCGGGAUGACGGCCUUCGGGUUGUAAACCGCUUUCGCCUGUGACGAAGCGUGAGUGACGGUAAUGGGUAAAGAAGCACCGGCUAACUACGUGCCAGCAGCCGCGGUGAUACGUAGGGUGCGAGCGUUGUCCGGAUUUAUUGGGCGUAAAGGGCUCGUAGGUGGUUGAUCGCGUCGGAAGUGUAAUCUUGGGGCUUAACCCUGAGCGUGCUUUCGAUACGGGUUGACUUGAGGAAGGUAGGGGAGAAUGGAAUUCCUGGUGGAGCGGUGGAAUGCGCAGAUAUCAGGAGGAACACCAGUGGCGAAGGCGGUUCUCUGGGCCUUUCCUGACGCUGAGGAGCGAAAGCGUGGGGAGCGAACAGGCUUAGAUACCCUAGUAGUCCACGCUGUAAACGGUGGGUACUAGGUGUGGGGUCCAUUCCACGGGUUCCGUGCCGUAGCUAACGCUUUAAGUACCCCGCCUGGGGAGUACGGCCGCAAGGCUAAAACUCAAAGGAAUUGACGGGGCCCCGCACAAGCGGCGGAGCAUGCGGAUUAAUUCGAUGCAACGCGUAGAACCUUACCUGGGUUUGACAUGGAUCGGGAGCGCUCAGAGAUGGGUGUGCCUCUUUUGGGGUCGGUUCACAGGUGGUGCAUGGCUGUCGUCAGCUCGUGUCGUGAGAUGUUGGGUUAAGUCCCGCAACGAGCGCAACCCUUGUUCACUGUUGCCAGCACGUUAUGGUGGGGACUCAGUGGAGACCGCCGGGGUCAACUCGGAGGAAGGUGGGGAUGACGUCAAGUCAUCAUGCCCCUUAUGUCCAGGGCUUCACGCAUGCUACAAUGGCUGGUACAGAGAGUGGCGAGCCUGUGAGGGUGAGCGAAUCUCGGAAAGCCGGUCUCAGUUCGGAUUGGGGUCUGCAACUCGACCUCAUGAAGUCGGAGUCGCUAGUAAUCGCAGAUCAGCAACGCUGCGGUGAAUACGUUCCCGGG
RNAcentral lists this ribosomal RNA (1343 nucleotides) under uncultured bacterium. RNAcentral's name for it is "16S ribosomal RNA". It matches the Rfam family "Bacterial small subunit ribosomal RNA", at positions 28 to 1378 of the family's 1533-position model. The record is from RNAcentral.